This 555-nucleotide long non-coding RNA is filed under the name Mytilus galloprovincialis (Mediterranean mussel). The record is from RNAcentral. Lineage: Eukaryota; Metazoa; Mollusca; Bivalvia; Mytilida; Mytilidae.
AUUUUGUUUAAUGUGACAUGUUCACUAGUCACUUAAUCACUACGGAAACUAACAAAUAUUUAACAAAGAAGCACAAAAGAGCAUAUAGACAAAAAAUAUUAGCAAAGACAAGAUUGCAAAAAAUAUCCAUAGCACAAUAACACAACGACGGGAUGUGUAAGUACACAGACACGUCAUGUAACAAAGAAACACAAAAGGCAUAUAGAAAAACUAUAUUACCAAAAAUAAAAGACACGAAUAAAGGAUAUUGAUCUUAAAAUAAAAAAUCCCGAUUUACAACAAAAUAUCCUUUGUGCAUUUGUUAACUAUGACAAGAAAAAAAUUCAACCGACUCCUGUGAAUUCUAAAACUGUAUGAACAUGUAAUUAUCAAUUAAACUUUCAAAUGAUGUACCAGGUAAUUUAGCACCAUAUAUUUAUAAACUACAAAACUGCAAUUGAUAAUGUAAAUGUCAUCACUUUGUUACGUAAUAGAAAACAAAUGAACACUUAAGCAAUCGUUUCGUUUGUUUGGGUAACAGUGGUAUUCCAAUGCUAAUUUUAGCAUGACUACCCG